This 889-nucleotide long non-coding RNA is filed under the name Cyanistes caeruleus (blue tit). Its description in RNAcentral is "lncRNA (ENSCCEG00000003235.1)". Lineage: Eukaryota; Metazoa; Chordata; Aves; Passeriformes; Paridae. The record is from RNAcentral.
AGAACAACAGAGCUUGAGAGACAGAGUACAGAGGGCAGAGUCUGAGCCAGGAGAGGGUGCAAAGAUCAGUGGAGGCAAAUAUGCACCAACACAGACUCAUGUGGACAUAACAGAAACUGCAAUUAUGGAGAUACCUCUUUAUUUCUUCUAGUAGAUACAAGACUCGCACUGCAUCCGAGGAGAAGACCAGAAUGGACUGGUUUGGCUUCGAGCAACUGCAAUCAGUUGCCUCACAGAGGGUUUCCUUGAUGCUGAAUUUGCUGUUUGCAAAUGCCCAGAAAUCUGCUGCUGAAAGGAGGAACAUUAUCCCUUUGCUGUAUGGCUCAAGAAGUUCUUACAAGAAGGUCUGUGUAUUUGCCUCUGGCUGUCCAUAAAUACAGUGCUACUUCAGGCAGUGCAGUAGCCUGAGCAUAGCCCUGUGCAUUAAGAGGAACAUUUGCCUUAGUAUUUGGAAAUAAGUCAAAUCAUCUGCUAUCUGCAUUUCUUACAAAUACCACAGAUUCCUUACAUUUGUGCCUCCAUCAUUCCAAGCUGUUGCUUUGACUUGCUAAUAGGUCCCUGUUGUAAAAAAAAAAAAACAUGCGGUUUUUUUUUUUUUUUUUUUUUUUUUUUUUUUAAUGGAGCUAACACUCAGAUGUUACUUUGUGCCCAGAGAGACAGCAAGGACAUGGAGUCUGCUGGAUUCCAGGAGAAAAGGUCUGCAGGGCUCCUGGAGGGAAAAUUACCAGGCAGGUAUUUAUGAGAAAAGGUGAUCUGGUUGAAUUCAAGACUGUAUUACAAACUAUGUGCUUAUCUGGUGUCAGUUGUCAGUUUCAUUGAAUUAAUUGGAGCAAUGCUGAUUUAUAACUGAGGCUUUAGACAAUUCUACAUAAACAGCUCUAAUGAUGCC